This 1466-nucleotide ribosomal RNA is filed under the name metagenome. Its description in RNAcentral is "bacterial LSU rRNA". It matches the Rfam family "Bacterial large subunit ribosomal RNA", at positions 1472 to 2925 of the family's 2925-position model. The record is from RNAcentral.
ACGCGGCGUGGUAGGUCAGCCUCUUAACGGAUUGAGGUGCCAAACGCGUAGGACGUUGAAGGGUGUAGGUAAGUCCGCACCCCGAGUCCGAAACGUGAUGGCGGUGCCUUAGAGCCACAAGUGAUUGAGCCAUGCCGCCUAGAAAAGCUUCUAAGCGUUGAUAUUUGAGUGACCGUACCGCAAACCGACACUGGUAGGUGGGUAGAGUAUACCAAGGGGAGCGAGAGAACCUUCGUUAAGGAAUUAGGCAAAUUUCCCCCGUACGUUCGCAAUAAGGGGGGCCUUUGGCGGUGAGCUUAAUCGCAAAGCUGCUGGAGGCCGCAGAGAAAUGGCUCUUCCAACUGUUUAACAAAAACACAGGUCUCUGCUAAGCCGAAAGACGAAGUAUAGGGGCUGACGCCUGCCCAGUGCUGGAAGGUUAAGGGGAGAGGUUAGGCGCAAGCCGAAGCUUUGAGCCGAAGCCCCAGUGAACGGCGGCCGUAACAAUAACGGUCCUAAGGUAGCGAAACUCCUUGUCGGGUAAGAUCCGACCCGCACGAAUGGCGUAAUGAGAGGAGCACUGUCUCAACGAGGGACUCGGCGAACAUUGAAGGACGUGUGAAGAUACACGUGACCCGCAGCGGGACAAAAAGACCCCGUGAAGCUUUACUACAACUUGCCAUUGAGUUAGGGCUAAACCUGUGUAGUAUAGGUGGGAGGCUUUGAAGCUGGGACGCCAGUCUCGGUGGAGCCACCGUUGAAAUACCACCCUGGUUUAUUCUUGGCUCUAACCUGUCGCCGUUAUCCGGCAUGGGAACAGUGGCUGGUGGGUAGUUUGACUGGGGCGGUCGCCUCCGAAAGCGUAACAGAGGCGCCCAAAGGUUCCCUCAGGCUGAAUGGAAACCAGCCGUUGAGUGUAAAGGCACAAGGGAGCUUGACUGCAAGACCAACAAGUCGCGCAGGGACGAAAGUCGGGCUUAGUGAUCCCACGGUUCAGAGUGGAAUGGCCGUGGCUUACCGGAUAAAAGCUACUCCGGGGAUAACAGGGUAGUCUGGUCCAAGAGUUCAUAUCGACGACCAGGUUCGCCACCUCGAUGUCGGCUCAUCACAUCCUGGGCUGGAUAAGGUCCCAAGGGUUGGGCUGUUCGCCCAUUAAAGUGGUACGUGAGCUGGGUUCAGACCGUCGUGAGACAGGUCGGUCUCUAUCCGCUGUGGGCGUAAGGGAUUUGAGAGAAGCUGCCCCUAGUACGAGAGGACCGGGGUGGACGGACCUCUAGUGUGCCAGUUGUUCUGCCAAGAGCAUUGCUGGGUAGCUACGUCCGGCAGAGAUAACCGCUGAAAGCAUCUAAGUGGGAAACUCGUCUCAAGAUUAGAUCCCUCAUCCGUAUGGAGUAAGACCGCUAGAAGACGACUAGCUUGAUAGGCGGCAGGUGUAAGCGCAGUAAUGUGUUCAGCUUAGCCGUACUAAUGGUCGAGGGCUUACGUUG